AAGUCGUAACAAGGUUUCCGUAGGUGAACCUGCGGAAGGAUCAUUAACACGUAUCCAACGUUAAAACCCCCCCCGUGAACUUUCAAUCCUGCUCUUGUAACCCGCGUAGUUCGCAAUCUCUGGUAAAUCAUAGCCCGGAAAGUUGUUUUGAUUCAGUGUCACUGAUUGUGCAAGGAUAGCGCUUCACGAUUCCUGUAGACCGUACACUCGGGCAGGAGCUAUGCCAAAGGGUCCCCAUGCCCCCUAAUAACCCCACAGUUUAAUGUAAAGCUCAAUGUAAUACAUUGGGUAAAAAAACCGAACAACUGUUAACAAUGGAUAUCUUGGUUCUC
This 332-nucleotide unclassified non-coding RNA is filed under the name fungal sp. Its description in RNAcentral is "partial internal transcribed spacer region". The stretch from base 1 to 46 matches the Rfam family "Eukaryotic small subunit ribosomal RNA", at positions 1786 to 1831 of the family's 1831-position model. Lineage: Eukaryota; Fungi. The record is from RNAcentral.